CUCGUAGCUUGCUAUGAGAACAAUUAGUGGCAGACGGGUGAGUAAUGCAUAGGAAUCUACCUAGUAGUAUAGGAUAGCCACUAGAAGUGGUGGGUAAUACUGUAUAAUCCCUGCGGGGGAAAGAUUUAUCGCUACAUGAUGAGCCUAUGUUAGAUUAGCUAGUUGGUGGGGUAAUGGCCUACCAAGGCAGUGAUCUAUAGCUGGUCUGAGAGGACGAUCAGCCACACUGGAACUGAGACACGGUCCAGACUCCUACGGGAGGCAGCAGUGGGGAAUAUUGGACAAUGGGCGCAAGCCUGAUCCAGCUAUGCCGCGUGAGUGAGGAAGGCCUUAGGGUUGUAAAACUCUUUCAGUGGGGAAGAUAAUGACGGUACCCACAGAAGAAGUCCCGGCAAACUCCGUGCCAGCAGCCGCGGUAAUACGGAGGGGGCAAGCGUUGUUCGGAAUUAUUGGGCGUAAAGGGCAUGUAGGUGGUUUGGUAAGUUAAAGGUGAAAUGCCAGGGCUUAACCCUGGAGCUGCUUUUAAUACCGCCAGACUGGAGUCCGGGAGA
This 551-nucleotide ribosomal RNA is filed under the name uncultured Anaplasma sp. RNAcentral describes it as "bacterial SSU rRNA". It matches the Rfam family "Bacterial small subunit ribosomal RNA", at positions 72 to 655 of the family's 1533-position model. Lineage: Bacteria; Pseudomonadati; Pseudomonadota; Alphaproteobacteria; Rickettsiales; Anaplasmataceae. The record is from RNAcentral.